This 69-nucleotide transfer RNA is filed under the name Ictidomys tridecemlineatus (thirteen-lined ground squirrel). RNAcentral describes it as "Spermophilus tridecemlineatus (thirteen-lined ground squirrel) tRNA". It matches the Rfam family "tRNA". Rfam says of the family: Transfer RNA (tRNA) molecules are approximately 80 nucleotides in length. Their secondary structure includes four short double-helical elements and three loops (D, anti-codon, and T loops). The record is from Rfam by way of RNAcentral. Lineage: Eukaryota; Metazoa; Chordata; Mammalia; Rodentia; Sciuridae.
GGAGAUGGGGCUCAAUGGUAGAGCACUUGCCUAGCAUGUGUGAGGCACUGAGUUCAAUCCUCAGCACCA